GUGAACGCUGGCGGUAGGCCUAACACAUGCAAGUCGAACGGCAGCACAGUAAGAGCUUGCUCUUCCGGGUGGCGAGUGGCGGACGGGUGAGGAAUACAUCGGAAUCUACUUUUUCGUGGGGGAUAACGUAGGGAAACUUACGCUAAUACCGCAUACGACCUACGGGUGAAAGCAGGGGAUCUUCGGACCUUGCGCGAUUGAAUGAGCCGAUGUCGGAUUAGCUAGUUGGCGGGGUAAAGGCCCACCAAGGCGACGAUCCGUAACUGGUCUGAGAGGAUGAUCAGCCACACUGGAACUGAGACACGGUCCAGACUCCUACGGGAGGCAGCAGUGGGGAAUAUUGGACAAUGGGCGCAAGCCUGAUCCAGCCAUACCGCGUGGGUGAAGAAGGCCUUCGGGUUGUAAAGCCCUUUUGUUGGGAAAGAAAAGCAGCAGGUUAAUACCCCGCUGUUCUGACGGUACCCAAAGAAUAAGCACCGGCUAACUUCGUG
RNAcentral lists this ribosomal RNA (491 nucleotides) under uncultured bacterium. RNAcentral describes it as "partial 16S ribosomal RNA". It matches the Rfam family "Bacterial small subunit ribosomal RNA", at positions 29 to 507 of the family's 1533-position model. The record is from RNAcentral.